GGCACUAUAUUUAAACCUGUGUAUGGGAAUUCUCCCCAUUCUAGGUUACGCUGUAGUGCAAAAGAAUUCCUGGCUCUUUUCUGUUGCACAGCUGACAUUGUGCCAUUCUGCUGUUGCUGGAUGGAGUUAAGGAACAUAA
Molecule: small nucleolar RNA, 139 nt
Organism: Myotis lucifugus (little brown bat)
Lineage: Eukaryota; Metazoa; Chordata; Mammalia; Chiroptera; Vespertilionidae
Product: small nucleolar RNA SNORA46
Source: Ensembl